This 497-nucleotide ribosomal RNA is filed under the name uncultured bacterium. Its description in RNAcentral is "partial 16S ribosomal RNA". It matches the Rfam family "Bacterial small subunit ribosomal RNA", at positions 28 to 507 of the family's 1533-position model. The record is from RNAcentral.
GAUGAACGCUGGCGGCGUGCCUAAUACAUGCAAGUCGAGCGAACAGACGAGGAGCUUGCUCCUCUGACGUUAGCGGCGGACGGGUGAGUAACACGUGGAUAACCUACCUAUAAGACUGGGAUAACUUCGGGAAACCGGAGCUAAUACCGGAUAAUAUAUUGAACCGCAUGGUUCAAUAGUGAAAGACGGUUUUGCUGUCACUUAUAGAUGGAUCCGCGCCGCAUUAGCUAGUUGGUAAGGUAACGGCUUACCAAGGCAACGAUGCGUAGCCGACCUGAGAGGGUGAUCGGCCACACUUGAACUGAGACACGGUCCAGACUCCUACGGGAGGCAGCAGUAGGGAAUCUUCCGCAAUGGGCGAAAGCCUGACGGAGCAACGCCGCGGGAGUGAUGAAGGUCUUCGGAUCGUAAAACUCUGUUAUUAGGGAAGAACAAAUGUUUAAGUAACUAUGCACGUCUUGACGGUACCUAAACAAAAAGCCACGGCUAACUACGUG